Lepidothrix coronata (blue-crowned manakin) is the source of this 105-nucleotide small nuclear RNA. NCBI's taxonomy places the organism in Eukaryota, Metazoa, Chordata, Aves, Passeriformes, Pipridae. The record is from Ensembl.
AUGUUCUUGUUGGCAGCAUAAUGCUAAAAUUUGAAUGAUACAGAGAAGAUUAGCGUGACUCUGCACAAGGUGGUUUGGGGAUAGCAAGAAGGCUCCACAGUACAG